This 497-nucleotide ribosomal RNA is filed under the name uncultured bacterium. RNAcentral describes it as "partial 16S ribosomal RNA". It matches the Rfam family "Bacterial small subunit ribosomal RNA", at positions 28 to 507 of the family's 1533-position model. The record is from RNAcentral.
GAUGAACGCUGGCGGCGUGCCUAAUACAUGCAAGUCGAGCGAACGGACGAGAAGCUUGCUUCUCUGAUGUUAGCGGCGGACGGGUGAGUAACACGUGGAUAACCUACCUAUAAGACUGGGAUAACUUCGGGAAACCGGAGCUAAUACCGGAUAAUAUUUUGAACCUCAUGGUUCAAAAGUGAAAGACGGUCUUGCUGUCACUUAGAGAUGGAUCCGCGCUGGAUUAGCUAGUUGGUAAGGUAACGGCUUACCAAGGCAACGAUGCAUAGCCGACCUGAGAGGGUGAUCGGCCACACUGGAACUGAGACACGGUCCAGACUCCUACGGGAGGCAGCAGUAGGGAAUCUUCCGCAAUGGGCGAAAGCCUGACGGAGCAGCGCCGCGUGAGUGAUGAAGGUCUUCGGAUCGUAAAACUCUGUUAUUAGGGAAGAACAUAUGUGUAAGUAACUGUGCACAUCUUGACGGUACCUAAUCAGAAAGCCACGGCUAACUACGUG